CUGAACCAGCCAAGUAGCGUGAAGGAUGAAGGCUCUAUGGGUCGUAAACUUCUUUUAUAUAAGAAUAAAGUGCAGUAUGUAUACUGUUUUGUAUGUAUUAUAUGAAUAAGGAUCGGCUAACUCCGUGCCAGCAGCCGCGGUAAUACGGAGGAUCCGAACGUUAUCCGGAUUUAUUGGGUUUAAAGGGAGCGUAGGUGGACUGGUAAGUCAGUUGUGAAAGUUUGCGG
RNAcentral lists this ribosomal RNA (227 nucleotides) under uncultured Bacteroides sp. RNAcentral describes it as "partial 16S ribosomal RNA". It matches the Rfam family "Bacterial small subunit ribosomal RNA", at positions 383 to 607 of the family's 1533-position model. The record is from RNAcentral. Lineage: Bacteria; Pseudomonadati; Bacteroidota; Bacteroidia; Bacteroidales; Bacteroidaceae.